ACGUAGGGUGCGAGCGUUAAUCGGAAUUACCGGGCGUAAAGCGUGCGCAGGCGGUUCGCUAAGACAGGUGUGAAAUCCCCGGGCUUAACCUGGGAACUGCGUUUGUGACUGCAUCACUCGAGUACGGCAGAGGGAGGUGGAAUUCCGCGUGUAGCAGUGAAAUGCGUAGAUAUGCGGAGGAACACCGAUGGCGAAGGCAAUCCCCUGGGCCUGCACUGACGCUCAUGCACGAAAGCGUGGGGAGCAAACAG
Molecule: ribosomal RNA, 251 nt
Filed under: uncultured prokaryote
Description: partial 16S ribosomal RNA
Rfam family: Bacterial small subunit ribosomal RNA
Source: RNAcentral